AAUCAACGCUGGCGGCGUGCCUCAGACAUGCAAGUCGAACGCGAAAGUUCCCUUCGGGGAGCGAGUAGAGUGGCGUACGGGUGAGUAACACGUAGGUAAUCUACCUUUGGGUGGGGAAUAACAGCCGGAAACGGCUGCUAAUACCGCAUAAUGCAGCGGCUCGACAUCGAGACAGUUGUUAAAGCGGGGGAUCGCAAGACCUCGCGCCUAAAGAGGAGCCUGCGGCGGAUUAGCUAGUUGGUGAGGUAAUGGCUCACCAAGGCAUCGAUCCGUAGCCGGCCUGAGAGGGCGGUCGGCCACACUGACACUGACAUACGGGUCAGACUCCUAC
RNAcentral lists this ribosomal RNA (331 nucleotides) under uncultured bacterium. Its description in RNAcentral is "bacterial SSU rRNA". It matches the Rfam family "Bacterial small subunit ribosomal RNA", at positions 32 to 342 of the family's 1533-position model. The record is from RNAcentral.